This is a long non-coding RNA of Ceratina calcarata, 202 nucleotides long. RefSeq lists it as uncharacterized. The record is from RefSeq and is a predicted model, not a curated record. NCBI's taxonomy places the organism in Eukaryota, Metazoa, Arthropoda, Insecta, Hymenoptera, Apidae. The transcript has 3 exons.
UGAAGACUGUCUGUACUAAUGUCGAAGAGAAUCACGUACUGCUCACUGAAACGCGCACCCGGCUGGAAAUCAUCCUUACGGAUACGGAAUACAAUUCUGGACUUUCUCUAUGAUUUCUAUUGAUGGCAUCUUUCUCGUAAACGGGACGAAAUUGCGUUAACAAGGUCCAGCCCAUACUUCAUCGACGAGCAACUGACCGAUG